GUGACUGUGGCUCAGUGGGAAGUGUUGUCAUCUUGCAAUCUAUAAGCUGUUGGUUCAAUUCCAGCUUCCACCUGCCACA
This is a non-coding RNA of Characodon lateralis, 79 nucleotides long. The record is from the annotation of a GenBank genome assembly. NCBI's taxonomy places the organism in Eukaryota, Metazoa, Chordata, Actinopteri, Cyprinodontiformes, Goodeidae.